UACGUAGGUGGCAAGCGUUGUCCGGAUUUACUGGGCGUAAAGGAUGCGUAGGCGGAUAUUUAAGUCAGAUGUGAAAUACCCGGGCUCAACUUGGGUGCUGCAUUUGAAACUGGAUAUCUAGAGUGUGGGAGAGGAAAAUGGAAUUCCUAGUGUAGCGGUGAAAUGCGUAGAGAUUAGGAAGAACACCAGUGGCGAAGGCGAUUUUCUGGACCAUAACUGACGCUGAGGCAUGAAAGCGUGGGGAGCAAACAGG
RNAcentral lists this ribosomal RNA (253 nucleotides) under uncultured bacterium. Its description in RNAcentral is "partial 16S ribosomal RNA". It matches the Rfam family "Bacterial small subunit ribosomal RNA", at positions 524 to 776 of the family's 1533-position model. The record is from RNAcentral.